RNAcentral lists this ribosomal RNA (888 nucleotides) under Triticum aestivum (bread wheat). RNAcentral's name for it is "partial small subunit ribosomal RNA". The record is from RNAcentral. Lineage: Eukaryota; Viridiplantae; Streptophyta; Magnoliopsida; Poales; Poaceae.
AUGCAAUGGCAUCAUCUUACCAAAACAUUUAACAACUGCGAUGAAGAACCCAGAUCAAUACAUAUAGUGCUCAACCCACUCUGCCCUGCAAGAGGCAUGGUUAUCGUACCUCCAUUCCCAUGCUACGGACGGCAGGACGGCUAUUUCUACAAGUUCUGUCAACUCCUAUUCGAAGAAGAAGGUGACGGCUUGUCAUACUUGUGUGUGCGGGGUGAACUUUCUAAUGAUGGAAGAAAAUCUACGGUGUAUGUGUAUAUGUUGCAAGAUGGUGUUUGGUGCUUGCAUACCUCAGCAACGACACAACUUCCUUGUCGGCCACAGAUACUGAAUCCUCUGCUCGUUGACAAUAAAAUCUACAUGGCGGCCACCCAGAGUGAAAUUCUUGUGUUGGAUUUGACAGCCUCAAGUUUCUCCACAUUUCAGGUCCCACAAGGGUUGGUUAUUGGUUACAAACGAACCAUGUUGUCACGGGCAUAUGAUAAUUCUGGUGUGUAUCUCAUUCAUUUGAACGGGCUUCAGCUUUGCAUCUGGCUGUGCACAGGGGACAACUGGUUGCUGGUGGAUACCAUCUGCUUGCGUGAGAUGUAUGCUAAAUUGAGGAUGCCUGAUCUCACAAAUUGGGUGUGGAUAAAUCAGGUGGGGGUAAAUGCUGAGUUUGUUUUCUUGAAGAUGGGUCGAUACCUAGUCUAUGUAGGCAUCAAGUGCAGGAAGUUGUGUAAAGUGUAUGAGAUGACAAGUGAGGAUCGAUGGUUGGGUCGUAUCCAUCCUUGUAUGAUGAUCUGGCCUCCUACAUUCCAUGCGCUCAAGGAUGGUCCUGCAAGGUUUGUUUUUUGGCCUUUGGGUGAUGUUAUUGUAUUUUCUUUUUGUGUGGUCGCAUUAGAAGCAUAG